AAAUAUAAGAACUACAACAAGAACAAAAACAAGAACAACAAGAACUACAAGAACUACAACAAGAACAAGAACAACAACAAUAACAAAAAAUAACAAUAACAACAAGAAUAAGAACAAGAACAAGAAUAAGAACAACAAUAAUAACAACAAGAACAACAAUAAGAACAACAACAAGAACAACAAGAAGAAGAACAACAACAAAAAC
This 205-nucleotide long non-coding RNA is filed under the name Lathyrus oleraceus (garden pea). Its description in RNAcentral is "Pisum sativum (pea) long non-coding RNA (PSAT_LNC027391)". Lineage: Eukaryota; Viridiplantae; Streptophyta; Magnoliopsida; Fabales; Fabaceae. The record is from RNAcentral.